Molecule: ribosomal RNA, 303 nt
Filed under: uncultured bacterium
Lineage: Bacteria
Description: partial 16S ribosomal RNA
Rfam family: Bacterial small subunit ribosomal RNA
Source: RNAcentral
AGCAGUCGCCACGGUAAUACGUAGGUGGCGAGCGUUGUCCGGAAUUAUUGGGCGUAAAGGGAGCGCAGGCGGACAUAUAAGUCCAUCUUAAAAGUGCGGGGCUCAACCCCGUGAGGGGAUGGAAACUGUAUGCCUUGAGUGUAGGAGAGGAAAGCGGAAUUCCCAGUGUAGCGGUGAAAUGCGUAGAUAUUGGGAGGAACACCAGUGGCGAAGGCGGCUUUCUGGACUGCAACUGACGCUGAGGCUCGAAAGCCAGGGGAGCGAACGGGAUUAGAUACCCCAGUAGUCCCUGUCUCUUAUACC